ACCCCGGGAGGGGAGUGAAAUAGAACCUGAAACCGCAUACAUACAAACAGUAGGAGCCCUACGGGGUGACUGCGUACCUUUUGCAUAAUGGGUCAGCGACUUACGUUUUGCGGCAAGCUUAACCGAGUAGGGGAGGCGCAGCGAAAGCGAGUUCGAACAGAGCGAUAGAGUCGUAAGGCGUAGACCCGAAACCAGAUGAGCUAACCAUGGCCAGGUUGAAGGUGUGGUAACACACACUGGAGGACCGAACCGACCGGUGUUGCAAAACCGGCGGAUGAGCUGUGGUUAGGGGUGAAAGGCUUAACAAAUCUGGAGAUAGCUGGUUCUCCCCGAAAACUAUUGAGGUAGUGCCUCGUGACUGACUCCGGGGGGUAGAGCACUGUUAUGGCUAGGGGGACAUGGCGUCUUACCAAACCAUGGCAAACUCCGAAUACCCGGAAGUUGAAUCACGGGAGACAGAGCACCGGGUGCUAACGUCCGGACUCAAAAGGGAAACAACCCAGACCGCCGUUUAAGGUCCCAAAUACAGGCUAAGUGGAAAACGAAGUGUGAAGGCUAAGACAGUCAGGAAGUUGGCUUAGAAGCAGCCAUCCUUCAAAGAAAGCGUAAUAGCUCACUGAUCGAGUCCUCAUGCGCGGAAGAUGUAACGGGGCUAAGUCUGUAACCGAAAGCGCGGAUUUGCACGCAAGUGCAAGUGGUAGGGGAGCGUUCUGUAAGCCUGCGAAGGUGUGUGGUAACGCAUGCCGGAGGUAUCAGAAGUGCGAAUGCUGACAUGAGUAACGAUAAAGCGGGUGAAAAGCCCGCUCGCCGUAAGCCCAAGGUUUCCUGCUCUACGUUCAUCGGAGCAGGGUGAGUCGGCCCCUAAGGCCAGGCUGAGAAGCGUAGCUGAUGGGAAGCAGAUUAAGAUUUCUGCACCGACGUUAAGUGCGAAGGGGGGACGGAGUUUUGAGCAUCAUCCGGGUGUUGGAUGUCCCGGUUUGUGCGUGUAGGAGGCCGGCAGGCAAAUCCGCCGGCAUAUCUCCGAGACAAAGCAUCGAGCUUCAUUUAGAAGCGAAGUGAUGGGAUGAACUUCCAGGAAAAGCCUCUAAGCUAUAGCUUAAUGUCGACCGUACCGUAAACCGACACAGGUGGGCGAGUUGAAUAUACUCAGGCGCUUGAGAGAACUCGGGAGAAGGAACUCGGCAAAUUGACACCGUAACUUCGGGAUAAGGUGUGCCUUUGUAGUGUGAAGAGUGAAACACUCCGAGCAUGAAGAGGUCACAGAGAAUAGGUGGCUGCAACUGUUUACUAAAAACACAGCACUCUGCAAAGACGAAAGUCGACGUAUAGGGUGUGAUGCCUGCCCGGUGCCGGAAGAUUAAGUGAUGGGGUGAGAGCUCCUGAUCGAAGUCCCGGUAAACGGCGGCCGUAACUAUAACGGUCCUAAGGUAGCGAAAUUCCUUGUCGGGUAAGUUCCGACCUGCACGAAUGGCAUAAUGAUGGCCACACUGUCUCCUCCCGAGACUCAGUGAAGUUGAAAUGUUUGUGAUGAUGCAAUCUCCCCGCGGCUAGACGGAAAGACCCCAUGAACCUUUACUGCAGCUUUGCAUUGGACUUUGAACCGAUCUGUGUAGGAUAGGCGGGAGGCAGAGAACCGAGGACGCCAGUCUUUGGGGAGCCGACGUUGAAAUACCGCCCUGAUUUGUUUGAGGUUCUAACCGCGGACAGUAAACCUGUUCCGGGACCGUGCAUGGUAGGCAGUUUGACUGGGGCGGUCUCCUCCUAAAGGGUAACGGAGGAGUACAAAGGUACGCUAGGUACGGUCGGAAAUCGUGCUGAUAGUGCAAUGGCGCAAGCGUGCUUGACUGCGAGACCGACAAGUCGAGCAGAUACGAAAGUAGGUCAUAGU
This 1888-nucleotide ribosomal RNA is filed under the name human gut metagenome. Its description in RNAcentral is "bacterial LSU rRNA". It matches the Rfam family "Bacterial large subunit ribosomal RNA", at positions 523 to 2416 of the family's 2925-position model. The record is from RNAcentral.